CUUCACAGUCUCUUGAGUUUUAUGUCAUGCUGAGAGUUCCUUCGUCUGUUGAGGAUUAUUAAAAUAUCCUCCCAUAUUUUCUCUUUUGCUUUUUACUUCAGUCUCUGAUCUAUCUAAAAUGUGUUUGUUGUGCAGAGUGAGAUGAGAAGUUGGGUUUGAAUCCUCGUCUGUCUGACCCUCGGGCCAUGCUUUCCUCACUGUUCUGCGUCCCUCAGACAAGCGAUUCUCCAGUCUCCACCUCUGCGGGCCUCAUCUUCCCACAGGAGGAAUCCCAGACCCACACACGCAUACUCACCGCAUCGCUUUGUGUGUCAGGACCAAGUCGGGGGUAGUCAUCCAGCCCCGGAAGUGCCUAGAAACAGUGUCAAGAGCUGUUGGGAGGAUGUUUCCACAGUGCAGGGACUGAAGGAGCAUCCUUCCUGGCCAGCUAGCUAUUGACUGGAGUCAAAUGAGCUGACUGGUCUGUUUGGAAACAUCUCCUGGGAUGCUUUGAUAAGAAUGAGCUUAGCAGAGGCGGAGUCAAGAUGGCGGCGUAGGCAGACUCUGAACUCACCUCCUCCUGUGGACACAGCCAAUUUACAACUACUCGUGGAAAAAUUACCCCUGAGACAGAAGUGAAAACUGGAUAAGAGGAACUCCUGCAACAACGGACAAUCCUAACUGAGGUAGAAGAAGCAGAGACUCCCUUCUGGAGAGGAAAACGCCGCCUUCACAAGCCGCCAGCGUCACGACCGCCGGGAGCAGCUCACAGAGUCCACAUAUAAGUGAGAUCAUACAGUAUUGGUCUUUGGCUAAGCUCCCAUCCUCCCAGAGGGUGACGGCAGAAGGAAUGAGACGGGUGAAGAGCUGGGUUCGGCAGCUGUGAUCCUUGGGGCGUCUUGGUAGCUAGAAGUUA
Molecule: long non-coding RNA, 895 nt
Organism: Diceros bicornis minor
Lineage: Eukaryota; Metazoa; Chordata; Mammalia; Perissodactyla; Rhinocerotidae
Exons: 3
Source: RefSeq, a predicted model, not a curated record